This 490-nucleotide ribosomal RNA is filed under the name uncultured bacterium. RNAcentral describes it as "partial 16S ribosomal RNA". It matches the Rfam family "Bacterial small subunit ribosomal RNA", at positions 28 to 507 of the family's 1533-position model. The record is from RNAcentral.
GAUGAACGCUAGCUACAGGCUUAACACAUGCAAGUCGCGGGGCAGCAUGGGGGUUGCUUGCCAUCCCCGAUGGCGACCGGCGCACGGGUGAGUAACGCGUAUCCAACCUGCCCUUCACCACGGGAUAACCCGGCGAAAGUCGGACUAAUACCGUAUGUUGUCCAUUGACGGCCUCCGAUUUGGACGAAAGGCUUGGCGGUGAGGGAUGGGGAUGCGUCCGAUUAGCCAGACGGCGGGGUAACGGCCCACCGUGGCUACGAUCGGUAGGGGUUCUGAGAGGAAGGUCCACCACACUGGAACUGAGACACGGUCCAGACUCCUACGGGAGGCAGCAGUGAGGAAUAUUGGUCAAUGGGCGUAAGCCUGAACCAGCCAAGUAGCGUGCAGGAUGACGGCCCUAUGGGUUGUAAACUGCUUUUAUGCGGGGAUAAAGUGGCCAACGUGUGGGGUUUUGAAGGUACCGAAUGAAUAAGGACCGGCUAAUUCCGUG